This 639-nucleotide ribosomal RNA is filed under the name Clostridium botulinum D str. 16868. Its description in RNAcentral is "bacterial LSU rRNA". It matches the Rfam family "Bacterial large subunit ribosomal RNA", at positions 904 to 1543 of the family's 2925-position model. The record is from RNAcentral. Lineage: Bacteria; Bacillati; Bacillota; Clostridia; Eubacteriales; Clostridiaceae.
AGAGCACUGAAUGGGCUAGGGGCUGACAACAGUUACUGAACCCUAUCAAACUCCGAAUGCCAUAUACUUGUACCCCGGCAGUCAGACUACGAAUGAUAAGAUCCGUGGUCAAAAGGGAAACAGCCCAGACCAUCAGCUAAGGUCCCAAAGUGUAAGUUAAGUGGGAAAGGAUGUGGGAUUUCUAAGACAACUAGGAUGUUGGCUUAGAAGCAGCCACUCAUUUAAAGAGUGCGUAAUAGCUCACUAGUCGAGAGAUCCUGCGCCGAAGAUGUAACGGGGCUCAAACUUACCACCGAAGCUAUGGAUGUGUACUAUGUACACGUGGUAGAGGAGCUUUCUGUACAGGUUGAAGUCAUACCGUAAGGAGUGGUGGACAGUACAGAAGUGAGAAUGCUGGCAUAAGUAGCGAAAAACAAGUGAGAAUCUUGUUGACCGAAUAUCUAAGGUUUCCUGGGGAAGGCUCGUCCUCCCAGGGUUAGUCGGGACCUAAGCCGAGGCCGAAAGGCGUAGGUGAUGGACAACUGGUUGAUAUUCCAGUACCACCAUAAUGCGUUUGACAAAUGGGAUGACGCAGGAGGAUAGGAUGUGCGCACUAUUGGAUGUGCGUCUAAGCACUUAGGGUGUUAAGUAGGCAAAUCC